RNAcentral lists this ribosomal RNA (305 nucleotides) under uncultured bacterium. RNAcentral describes it as "bacterial SSU rRNA". It matches the Rfam family "Bacterial small subunit ribosomal RNA", at positions 335 to 639 of the family's 1533-position model. The record is from RNAcentral.
UCGCCUAGGGACGCAGCAGUGAGGAAUAUUGGUCAAUGGCCGGAAGGCUGAACCAGCCAAGCCGCGUGAAGGACGAAGGUGCCAAGCAUUGUAAACUUCUUUUGUCAAGGGACAAAAUCAGGCUCGAGAGCCUGACCGAGGGUACUUGAAGAAAAAGCAUCGGCUAACUCCGUGCCAGCAGCCGCGGUAAUACGGAGGAUGCGAGCGUUAUCCGGAUUUAUUGGGUUUAAAGGGUGCGUAGGCGGAAUAUCAAGUCAGCGGUAAAAAUUCGGGGCUCAAACCCGUCGUGCAGUUGAAACUGAUGU